UGUAUUGAAUUAUCGUAUAUAUAGGAAUCAAAAUGCACAAAAGAAAGAUUAAAAACCGAGGUUCAUCAUCACCUUCUUCCAUCUUCACAGGUCUGAACCUUAGCGCUCUGACACUACUGUUAUGGUUUUUUGUGUUUUUGAUAUUGCGGAAUUUGGUGGAAUAUAUUUUUGUGUGGAGAAACUCCAAUUCUUGUUCUCAUUAAAAUUCAUAGGUAUAUGGCUCUUUAUAUAGAGCUACAUAAAAAUAAAUAAUAUCUUUAAAUAACAAACUAAUCCUAUAAAUUUUAAACAAAUCCUAAAUAUUCUAAAUAAAAAUAUAAAUCAUAAACCCUAAUAUUAUUUUAUUUUAAAUAUAAAUCUAAAACGUAUUUAAAUAUAAAAUCUUUCAAAAAAGAUAUUUAGGCAUUAUUCUCAACAACAAUGACAGAAUGAAAAUUUAAUUCUCAUUAUGUUUGUUUAUUUGCUAACAUAAAGGAAAGGAAGGGUGAGAAUUAUGAUAUAUAUGAAGUUAUGAUACUUCUACUAUAUAGGAUGCAUUAGAGACGGAUUCUCCAAGAGAUAAGGGAGUUAAAUUUGAUAUGUCAUUGUUAAUAUCUCAACUAUAGUAACUAAGGAACAUUAUCUAAGACGGCCUUGUCAUUAUGUUUUGAUUUUUGUACAAACUAUGAAAAAUUUUAACAUGGACCACUUCUUCAAGUGGUCCAUGGUGGACCAUUCAUGAAAAACUCUAUAACUAAUACGAAUUUUACAAAAUCCACCGUUGGAUUGAAAGUUUAUAUCAUAUAGAUUAUCUAUAGAAAAUUUUAGAAAAAUUGAAAAUAAUUUGAUAUGUUAUUGAGAUCCAUCAAAAUUAACGGUCUAUUAAAUACUGUAAAUCUUGAUAAAUCCCAAUAAAAUAUCAAAUUAUUUUCAAUUUUUCUAAAUAUUUUUAUGGAUGCUCUAUAUGAUAUAAACUUCUAAUCUACCAAUAAAUUUUAUAAAAUUCGUAUUCGGUAGAUCACUUGUUUACGGUGAACCACUUAUGAAGGUGGUCCACCGUAGCAUUAGCCUAUAUAUAUAUAUAUAUAU
This 1068-nucleotide long non-coding RNA is filed under the name Trifolium pratense (red clover). Its description in RNAcentral is "long non-coding RNA (TPRA_LNC007421)". Lineage: Eukaryota; Viridiplantae; Streptophyta; Magnoliopsida; Fabales; Fabaceae. The record is from RNAcentral.